UGUCACAUCAAAGCCAUUAACGACCAUGCCAGGUGUUACAUAAAAAUCACUUACACAGAAAACUAAACAGAGGCAGUAUGGCGUGCCGAUCAAGGUUUCGGAGCCAACUCAGUCAUGGAUCUGCCUGGAAAACGUAGGCCAAGCCUUCUCCUUCCCUGAGUUUCUAUAUCAUCUUUUAUAAAAAUAGAGAUAAUACAACCCAAUUUAGAGGGUUGUUACGAUAAGUGAAUGAACGGAAAUCCGUGAAAUCCUCUGACACCAGCCUCGGAUAGCCCAAGAUAGAAAAUGGAAGCUUGGGAAGCAAAUUACUACAAGAGUAGCCGUUCAAGUGACAAAAGAAUUCUCUGCAGGACCUUGUUAAUUGGCAAUGGCACCCUACACGUUUGCCAGCAUGGCUCACGAGAUUGCGAGAUUGCGUGUAUUUCUUCAAAGGCAAUGAAUAAAACCCACCCAAACUCUGGUUUGCUUGAGAUUCUCUCCCCGGAGGAUACAUGAUUGCAGGAAAAACUGGAGCUGGGGUGCUCCACCCUUCCCACGGCUGUCUCCAAAACACACUGGCCAAAUGGAAUUAGGCAAAGUUCACGACAUAAGACUCCAUUAAAUUCUACAAACUGGUAUUGUGUUCUCAACUAUGUCCAGCACAGUGCUGGGCCCUAGGGAUACCAAACUGAGUAAGAACAUAACCAGAAAAUGGCAUAAUGAGAGUUGGGUGGUAUAAUAGAUUAAAGCACAUGGAUACUA
Molecule: long non-coding RNA, 741 nt
Organism: Felis catus (domestic cat)
Lineage: Eukaryota; Metazoa; Chordata; Mammalia; Carnivora; Felidae
Exons: 3
Source: RefSeq, a predicted model, not a curated record